AUGGGCGGUAUCGGUAGCAUUCACAACCAAGCUCAAGAAAAGUACAAUUUAUUUGUGACACCUCAAACGUCAAUUUGUAAUACCAUGGUGAGGGUGUCUAAACAGGAUCUACGUCUUUACAAGGCUAGGCUAACUUAUUCACUAAGAUGCUUGAGGUUUCUUUUGAACCAAGGAUUGGUAUUUCGUGGACAUGAUGAGAGUGAAGAAUCUAGCAAUAGGGGGAACUUUCUUGAACUUCUAAAAUGGCUUGCAGAAAAUGAUGAAGAAGUUGAUAAGAUUGUUUUGCACAAUGCUCCUGGAAAUGAUUCGGUCUACAUGCUUAUCAAAUUGGUAUUGAUCUUACCGGUGGCCACAGCGAGUGUUGAAAGAGUAUUUUCGGCAAUGACUCUAGUGAAAAAUAAGUUGAGAAAUAGUAUAAGUGAUGAUCUCAUGAACAACUGUUUAGUAACAUUCAUUGAGCGAGAUGUGUUCUUGAAAGUAAGCGAGGAAGACAUCAUUGAAGAUUUCAUGGCAAAGGAACGUCGUAGAGUUACUUAG
RNAcentral lists this ribosomal RNA (537 nucleotides) under Triticum aestivum (bread wheat). RNAcentral describes it as "partial small subunit ribosomal RNA". The record is from RNAcentral. Lineage: Eukaryota; Viridiplantae; Streptophyta; Magnoliopsida; Poales; Poaceae.